AGCUUUGCGCAGUGGCGAUAUCGUUACCAAUGAGGUUCUACCGAGGUGCGAUUAUUGCUAGUUGAAAUUCCCUCGUACCCAAGUACCCACCCAUGCCAACUUUGGUUUGAUUUGAUGUGGAAAAAAAUCAUGUU
Small nuclear RNA from Uranotaenia lowii, 134 nucleotides. RefSeq annotates it as U4 spliceosomal RNA. NCBI's taxonomy places the organism in Eukaryota, Metazoa, Arthropoda, Insecta, Diptera, Culicidae. The record is from RefSeq and is a predicted model, not a curated record. The transcript has a single exon.